This 497-nucleotide ribosomal RNA is filed under the name uncultured bacterium. RNAcentral describes it as "partial 16S ribosomal RNA". It matches the Rfam family "Bacterial small subunit ribosomal RNA", at positions 28 to 507 of the family's 1533-position model. The record is from RNAcentral.
GAUGAACGCUGGCCGCGUGCCUAAUACAUGCAAGUCGAGCGAACAGACGAGGAGCUUGCUCCUCUGACGUUAGCGGCGGACGGGUGAGUAACACGUGGAUAACCUACCUAUAAGACUGGGAUAACUUCGGGAAACCGGAGCUAAUACCGGAUAAUAUAUUGAACCGCAUGGUUCAAUAGUGAAAGACGGUUUUGCUGUCACUUAUAGAUGGAUCCGCGCCGCAUUAGCUAGUUGGUAAGGUAACGGCUUACCAAGGCAACGAUGCGUAGCCGACCUGAGAGGGUGAUCGGCCACACUGGAACUGAGACACGGUCCAGACUCCUACGGGAGGCAGCAGUAGGGAAUCUUCCGCAAUGGGCGAAAGCUUGACGGAGCAACGCCGCGUGAGUGAUGAAGGUCUUCGGAUCGUAAAACUCUGUUAUUAGGGAAGAACAAAUGUGUAAGUAACUAUGCACGUCUUGACGGUACCUAAUCAGAAAGCCACGGCUAACUACGUG